GCAGGGGUAGUUCAGUGGUAGAAAUCUCAUCUUCCACGCAGGAGACCCAGGUUCAAUUCCCGGCCAAUGCG
RNAcentral lists this transfer RNA (71 nucleotides) under Loxodonta africana (African savanna elephant). It matches the Rfam family "tRNA". Rfam says of the family: Transfer RNA (tRNA) molecules are approximately 80 nucleotides in length. Their secondary structure includes four short double-helical elements and three loops (D, anti-codon, and T loops). Lineage: Eukaryota; Metazoa; Chordata; Mammalia; Proboscidea; Elephantidae. The record is from Rfam by way of RNAcentral.